GUCACUUCCAGUAUGUCGCGAGAGUUCUCCUGUAAAUACGAUAAGAGCAGCAAAGAGAUGAGAACCGCGUCCAACCUUGCUUAUACGUUCGCGUAGAUAGAAGAAUAGCAGAAUAAACCACGUGUAUUGUUGCUGUCGUCUCGACGUUCAGUCUUCAAUACAGGUUUCCAGUAUGCUAAACACAACGCUCACUGAAAUGCUAAUGAAGCUAACGUCACGUAGCAAUGCGUAAGGUUCUGGAACGGUCCUUGAACAUGGCUUAUCAUCACCACAGCACUAGCAUUCACUUCAAGCAAACACAUUCCUGUGCAAGACUCUCAUGAGUAGAAGUGUUCAUUUCAGGCAAGGCCUCUACUCUUGGACCCUGGAGAGAUUAAUGUGGACAUAAAUUGCAUUUGCUGCGCUACACAAAUCUUUUACCACUGGACAACAAUAAGAUCUGAGAGCGGGACUUUACCACAAACACUUCACAGCUAGAGACAGAGCAUUGCUGACCGCACUGACGAACGUCACCGCUUGAGUAGAUGAGCCCCAGUUCACGUCUGGAGAGGACCAUAAUGGCUACAGAUAUGCCCAACAGCAGCACCACUGUGAUGACUCCAAUAAUUCUAAUGUCAUUUAAUGGAUCCACCAUGAGUACAUUAUGCUCCUGAAGCGAGAGAACACAAUUAUGU
Syngnathus acus (greater pipefish) is the source of this 674-nucleotide long non-coding RNA. RefSeq lists it as uncharacterized. NCBI's taxonomy places the organism in Eukaryota, Metazoa, Chordata, Actinopteri, Syngnathiformes, Syngnathidae. The record is from RefSeq and is a predicted model, not a curated record. The transcript is spliced from 5 exons.